RNAcentral lists this ribosomal RNA (496 nucleotides) under uncultured bacterium. Its description in RNAcentral is "partial 16S ribosomal RNA". It matches the Rfam family "Bacterial small subunit ribosomal RNA", at positions 29 to 507 of the family's 1533-position model. The record is from RNAcentral.
AUGAACGCUGGCGGCGUGCCUAAUACAUGCAAGUCGAGCGAACAGACGAGGAGCUUGCUCCUCUGACGUUAGCGGCGGACGGGUGAGUAACACGUGGAUAACCUACCUAUAAGACUGGGAUAACUUCGGGAAACCGGAGCUAAUACCGGAUAAUAUAUUGAACCGCAUGGUUCAAUAGUGAAAGACGGUUUUGCUGUCACUCAUAGAUGGAUCCGCGCCGCAUUAGCUAGUUGGUAAGGUAACGGCUUACCAAGGCAACGAUGCGUAGCCGACCUGAGAGGGUGAUCGGCCACACUGGAACUGAGACACGGUCCAGACUCCUACGGGAGGCAGCAGUAGGGAAUCUUCCGCAAUGGGCGAAAGCCUGACGGAGCAACGCCGCGUGAGUGAUGAAGGUCUUCGGAUCGUAAAACUCUGUUAUUAGGGAAGAACAAAUGUGUAAGUAACUAUGCACGUCUUGACGGUACCUAAUCAGAAAGCCACGGCUAACUACGUG